Sus scrofa (pig) is the source of this 1187-nucleotide non-coding RNA. The record is from RefSeq and is a predicted model, not a curated record. NCBI's taxonomy places the organism in Eukaryota, Metazoa, Chordata, Mammalia, Artiodactyla, Suidae.
CAUGUCAGUGUACGUCACUGUUUGGCGUAACUGAUUGCGUCACUGCAAGUGGGAAGGUCCCUGUCGCAAUCGCUGGGGCGCCCGUGGAAAGAGCAGCGGCCUUGUCCAGAGUUGGGAGGACACCACGGCCAGUUCUGCAGCGUUCAGGAAGUCUCUCCAAAGACUGGGACCAGAAGGGGCUGAGUGCACGGCUAAUGUGGAAGACCGCUGAAUGACACUCGUUCACUAGCAGCAGCGUGUGACGGACCUGGCCUAAUUCCCCAGACUGUUUCCUCAUUUUAUAAAUGAGGAUAACUACCCAUUCUGCCUACGUUGGAGAAUUGUGCGGCUAAAAGAAAAUAAUGUAUGCAAAGGUGUUUUUAAAGUAUAAGGCUCACUGGACUUUAAAACAUCUUUUUUAUAAGAGAAAACAGUCGGGCAAGAGCAGUUAAGAGCCUGGACUUUGGAGUCAGGGAAACCUAGGUACAAAUCUGAUCCUGCUUGUUGGACAGUCAAUUCUGCUUGAUCUGUGGGCAAACUGGAGGUCCGGGGUGUGGGGAUUUGGAGACAAUAACUGGAAAGCAUGCUUAAUUCCAGACAAAGUUUCGUGAGUAAAGAUGGAGCCAAGGAAUGCUGGUGGCCUCUAGAAGCUGGAAAAGGCAGGGAAACAGAUUCUCCCCUCAAGCCCUGCCAACGCCUUGAUUGUAGGAUCUCUUAUCUCCAGAACUCUUAUGUCCAGACACUAUGGAUAUGGAUAUGACACAAUCGCUCAAAAAACUCAGUUUAGGAAGGAAGUUAAAUAUUCCAAAUGAUCAUUCUCCAGCAGGACAUUCAAAUGCCUAAAGCCUGGGCAAAUGCUUUACACUCAGCCAGCAGACUUUUACCAAGUGUGGUGUGAGCAUCUGGGAUUGCCAGAUUUGAAAUCUAUUGACCUCUAAAUAUCGGGAGGCAGACAGGUAAAGUAAGCGUGGCAAGCAUGAGUGGGAAGCCUCAACCCCCGGAUUCUCCAAUCAAACGCUUUUCUCACAGCCUCUGCCAGUAUACUCUUCCUGUUGGCCACACUAUGAAGAAUUAACUUUCCUGUAUCUAAUCUAAAUCACAUUUUUUGCUGUAAAUCAACUAAAAUGGAAAAAAUAAAAAUCAUAAAAUAAUAAAAUAAAAUCAGUAUAAGCAAAUAAAUAAAUAUAAAUCACAAUUUUUGCUAUAAA